RNAcentral lists this ribosomal RNA (991 nucleotides) under uncultured Basidiomycota. Its description in RNAcentral is "eukaryotic LSU rRNA". The stretch from base 310 to 991 matches the Rfam family "Eukaryotic large subunit ribosomal RNA", at positions 1 to 664 of the family's 3401-position model. Lineage: Eukaryota; Fungi; Basidiomycota. The record is from RNAcentral.
AUCGAUGAAGAACGCAGCGAAAUGCGAUAAGUAAUGUGAAUUGCAGAAUUCAGUGAAUCAUCGAAUCUUUGAACGCACCUUGCGCUCCUUGGUAUUCCGAGGAGCAUGCCUGUUUGAGUGUCAUUAAUAUAUCAACCUUCUCUUUUUUGAGUUGUUUGGAUGUGGGGGUUUGCUGGCCUCUUAAAUGAUUCAGCUCCCCUGAAAUGCAUUAGCAGAACAACCUGUUCAUUGGCGUGAUAAUUAUCUAUGCUAUUGAAUGUGAGGGGCAGUUCAGCUUUCUAACCGUCCUCGGACAAUUCAUCAUUAAUGUGACCUCAAAUCAGGUAGGACUACCCGCUGAACUUAAGCAUAUCAAUAAGCGGAGGAAAAGAAACUAACAAGGAUUCCCCUAGUAACUGCGAGUGAAGCGGGAAAAGCUCAAAUUUAAAAUCUGGCGGUCUUUUGGCUGUCCGAGUUGUAAUCUAGAGAAGUGUUAUCCGCGCUGGACCGUGUACAAGUCUCCUGGAAUGGAGCGUCAUAGAGGGUGAGAAUCCCGUCUUUGACACGGACUGCCAGGGCAUUGCGAUACGCUCUCAAAGAGUCGAGUUGUUUGGGAAUGCAGCUCAAAAUGGGUGGUAAAUUCCAUCUAAAGCUAAAUAUUGGGGAGAGACCGAUAGCGAACAAGUACCGUGAGGGAAAGAUGAAAAGAACUUUGGAAAGAGAGUUAAACAGUACGUGAAAUUGCUGAAAGGGAAACGCUUGAAGUCAGUCGCGUCGCUCAGGACUCAGCCUUGCUUUUGCUUGGUGUACUUCCUGUUCGAUGGGUCAGCAUCAAUUUUGGUCGGUGGAUAAAGGCUCAGAGAAUGUGGCAUCUUCGGGUGUGUUAUAGCUCUGGGUUGUAUACAUCGGCUGGGAUUGAGGAACUCAGCACGCCGCAAGGCCGGGUACUUGUACCACGUACGUGCUUAGGAUGCUGGCAUAAUGGCUUUAAUCGACCCGUCUUGAAACACGG